AUGGGAGUGAAAUAGCAUUUAUUAUCUGGUGACAUUUCGCAGGCAGCUUUUUACCUCCGCUUCCCCUGAGAUGUGAUAACAAAAGAUUGUCUGAUCUUCCUUUUACCCAUCUCCCCAGCUCCCUACCACCCCCAGUUCCCUUUCAUCCCUGCGUUUGAGGGCAACUGUUCUUCUGUCUCGAGGUUGGGCUGGCCAGAGCAAACAUAGCUUUCCCGGGGGAGACCAGGCCAUCUUUCUUCCUCUUACUUCAAAGGGGCUUUGGAACGCUCCACCCCAUGGGCUGAACAGAAUGUAUUUCAUUUUUUAGGAGGCUGGAAUCAGCUGCCGAGAAGGGCAGGGGCACCUUGGGCUCUCCUUCCCUUCCCCAUCUCCAGGACUCAGUAAGGAGGGAGGGCAUGAAAUCUCAGGCUCCUGGGCGGGGCUGGGGAGGCCGGCCUUGUCACAGGCAGGAGGGGCCGCAUUCCUUCCUCAGCAGCUGGUGGAGCUGGGCCUGAGCAGGACUUCCCCAAAGGACUGAGAAGGAAGCCUCCACUCUGUCGUCGCUCUCUGGGACUGCUCAAGGACAAAUCUAUCUUCCUAAAGGGAUGAAAUGAUGCAAGCAAGAGUUCUUUCAUUUAAAACCCGAGCAGCAGCAGCGAUGCUGAAAAGAACAAUCACGGAAGAAUUCAUUCCUGCAGGAAUGUAAGAGCUUACAAUUUAACUGCUAU
Molecule: long non-coding RNA, 707 nt
Filed under: Homo sapiens (human)
Lineage: Eukaryota; Metazoa; Chordata; Mammalia; Primates; Hominidae
Description: HSALNT0012544
Source: RNAcentral